GAUUAUCGAAGGACAGUGACCUUAAUUCAUAAUC
Molecule: regulatory RNA element, 34 nt
Organism: Gillisia limnaea DSM 15749
Lineage: Bacteria; Pseudomonadati; Bacteroidota; Flavobacteriia; Flavobacteriales; Flavobacteriaceae
Rfam family: S4-Flavobacteria ribosomal protein leader
Source: Rfam